Molecule: small RNA, 127 nt
Filed under: Marmota monax (woodchuck)
Lineage: Eukaryota; Metazoa; Chordata; Mammalia; Rodentia; Sciuridae
Source: RNAcentral
GCUGGGCGUAGUGAUGUAUGCCUGUAAUCCCAGCAACUUGGGAGGCUGAGGCAGGAGGAUCGUGAGUUCAAAGAUAAUCUCAGCAUCUUAGCAAGGCUCUUAGCAACGCAGAUAGACCCUGUCUCUA